RNAcentral lists this transfer RNA (77 nucleotides) under SAR202 cluster bacterium AC-409-J13_OGT_754m. Its description in RNAcentral is "tRNA-Arg". It matches the Rfam family "tRNA". Rfam says of the family: Transfer RNA (tRNA) molecules are approximately 80 nucleotides in length. Their secondary structure includes four short double-helical elements and three loops (D, anti-codon, and T loops). Further hydrogen bonds mediate the characteristic L-shaped molecular structure. tRNAs have two regions of fundamental functional importance: the anti-codon, which is responsible for specific mRNA codon recognition, and the 3' end, to which the tRNAs corresponding amino acid is attached (by aminoacyl-tRNA synthetases). tRNAs cope with the degeneracy of the genetic code in two manners: having more than one tRNA (with a specific anti-codon) for a particular amino acid; and 'wobble' base-pairing, i.e. permitting non-standard base-pairing at the 3rd anti-codon position. The record is from RNAcentral. Lineage: Bacteria; Bacillati; Chloroflexota; Dehalococcoidia.
GCGCUUGUAGCUCAGUAGGAUAGAGCGCAGCCCUGCGAAGGCUGAGGCCGUGGGUUCGAAUCCCCCCAAGCGCGCCA